Molecule: ribosomal RNA, 913 nt
Filed under: Staphylococcus aureus
Lineage: Bacteria; Bacillati; Bacillota; Bacilli; Caryophanales; Staphylococcaceae
Description: partial 23S ribosomal RNA
Rfam family: Bacterial large subunit ribosomal RNA
Source: RNAcentral
CCGUCCACCGAUUGACUAAGGUUUCCAGAGGAAGGCUCGUCCGCUCUGGGUUAGUCGGGUCCUAAGCUGAGGCCGACAGGCGUAGGCGAUGGAUAACAGGUUGAUAUUCCUGUACCACCUAUAAUCGUUUUAAUCGAUGGGGGGACGCAGUAGGAUAGGCGAAGCGUGCGAUUGGAUUGCACGUCUAAGCAGUAAGGCUGAGUAUUAGGCAAAUCCGGUACUCGUUAAGGCUGAGCUGUGAUGGGGAGAAGACAUUGUGUCUUCGAGUCGUUGAUUUCACACUGCCGAGAAAAGCCUCUAGAUAGAAAAUAGGUGCCCGUACCGCAAACCGACACAGGUAGUCAAGAUGAGAAUUCUAAGGUGAGCGAGCGAACUCUCGUUAAGGAACUCGGCAAAAUGACCCCGUAACUUCGGGAGAAGGGGUGCUCUUUAGGGUUAACGCCCAGAAGAGCCGCAGUGAAUAGGCCCAAGCGACUGUUUAUCAAAAACACAGGUCUCUGCUAAACCGUAAGGUGAUGUAUAGGGGCUGACGCCUGCCCGGUGCUGGAAGGUUAAGAGGAGUGGUUAGCUUCUGCGAAGCUACGAAUCGAAGCCCCAGUAAACGGCGGCCGUAACUAUAACGGUCCUAAGGUAGCGAAAUUCCUUGUCGGGUAAGUUCCGACCCGCACGAAAGGCGUAACGAUUUGGGCACUGUCUCAACGAGAGACUCGGUGAAAUCAUAGUACCUGUGAAGAUGCAGGUUACCCGCGACAGGACGGAAAGACCCCGUGGAGCUUUACUGUAGCCUGAUAUUGAAAUUCGGCACAGCUUGUACAGGAUAGGUAGGAGCCUUUGAAACGUGAGCGCUAGCUUACGUGGAGGCGCUGGUGGGAUACUACCCUAGCUGUGUUGGCUUUCUAACCCGCACCACUUA